UACGUAGGGUGCGAGCGUUACUCGGAAUUACUGGGCGUAAAGAGCGCGCAGGCGGUCGUUCAAGUCGCGUGUGAAAGCCCCCGGCUCAACUGGGGAGGGUCACGCGAUACUGAUCGACUCGAAGGCAGGAGAGGGUAGUGGAAUUCCCGGUGUAGUGGUGAAAUGCGUAGAUAUCGAGAGGAACACCGGUGGCGAAGGCGGCCAACUGGACAGAUACUGACGCUGAGACACGAAAGCGUGGGGAGCAAACAGG
Molecule: ribosomal RNA, 253 nt
Filed under: uncultured bacterium
Lineage: Bacteria
Description: partial 16S ribosomal RNA
Rfam family: Bacterial small subunit ribosomal RNA
Source: RNAcentral